UCAGGACGAACGCUGGCGGCGUGCUUACACAUGCAAGUCAAGGGGAAAGUCUCAGCUUGCUGAGAUGAGUAUACUGGCGGAUGGGUGAGUAACACGUAGGUAAUCUGCCCUUAGGACAGGGAUAACAUUGCUAACGCGAUGCUAAUACCUGAUGAAGCAACUGUUGAAUCAGAUGGUUGUUAAAGGCUGGCUUUCAGCUAGCGCCUGAGGAUGAGCCUGCGUCUCAUUAGCUAGUUGGUAGGGUAAUGGCCUACCAAGGCGACGAUGGGUAGCCGGCCUGAGAGGGUGAGCGGCCACACUGGGACUGAGAUACGGCCCAGACUCCUACGGGAGGCAGCAGUGAGGAAUAUUGCGCAAUGGCCGAAAGGUUGACGCAGCGACGCCGCGUGAGGGAUGAAGCUUUUAGGAGUGUAAACCUCUGUUAGGAGGGAAGAAUAAUGGCAAUUCGAACAGGGUUGUCAGAUGACGGUACCUCCAGAGGAAGCCCCGGCUAACUCCGUGCCAGCAGCCGCGGUAAUACGGGGGGGGCUAGCGUUGUCCGGAAUUACUGGGCGUAAAGGGCGCGUAGGCGGGAUAGCAAGUCAGUGGUGCAAACUUGAGGCUUAACUUCAAGCUUGCCAUUGAUACUGUUAUUCUUGAGUUCGGCAGGGGGAAGUGGAAUUCCUGGUGUAGCGGUGAAAUGCGUAGAUAUCAGGAAGAACACCGGUGGCGAAGACGGCUUCCUGGUCCGAUACUGACGCUGAGGCGCGAAAGCGUGGGGAGCGAACAGGAUUAGAUACCCUGGUAGUCCACGCUGUAAACGAUGGGUACUAGGUGUUGGUUGUAAUGAUCAGCGCCGGAGCAAACGCAUUAAGUACCCCGCCUGGGGAAUACGGUCGCAAGACUGAAACUCAAAGGAAUUGACGGGGGCCCGCACAAGCGGUGGAGCAUGUGGUUUAAUUCGAAUGCACGCGAAGAA
RNAcentral lists this ribosomal RNA (958 nucleotides) under uncultured organism. Its description in RNAcentral is "bacterial SSU rRNA". It matches the Rfam family "Bacterial small subunit ribosomal RNA", at positions 24 to 968 of the family's 1533-position model. The record is from RNAcentral.